CCUACGGGAGACAGCAGUGAGGAAUAUUGGUCAAUGGACGAGAGUCUGAACCAGCCAAGUAGCGUGAAGGAUGACUGCCCUAUGGUUUGUAAACUUCUUUUAUAAAGGAAUAAAACGAGGCACGGGUGCCUUUUUGCAUGUACUUUAUGACUAAAGAUCGGCUAACUCCGUGCCAGCAGCCGCGGUAAUACGGAGGAUCCGAGCGUUAUCCGGAUUUAUUGGGUUUAAAGGGAUCGUAGGUGGGUUGUUAAGUCAGUUGUGAAAGUUCGGGGCUCAACCGUAAAAUUGCAAUUGAUACUGGCAGUCUUGAGUACAGUAGAGGUAGGCGGAAUUCGUGGUGUAGCGGUGAAAUGCUUAGAUAUCACGAAGAACCCCGAGUGCGAAGGCAGCUUACUAAACUGUGACUGACAUUGAUGCUCGAAAGUGUGGGUAUCAAACAGGAUUAGAUACCCGAGUAGUC
This 460-nucleotide ribosomal RNA is filed under the name uncultured bacterium. RNAcentral's name for it is "partial 16S ribosomal RNA". It matches the Rfam family "Bacterial small subunit ribosomal RNA", at positions 338 to 795 of the family's 1533-position model. The record is from RNAcentral.